GCCAGGGUUCAAGAGGUUCAGAGUGGACGGUUGACUAUUGAGUGUCCUGAGAGGUCAAAUUGCUGUAAGAAAAAGUUCAUGUGGUCAUACGUAUUCAAAAUCAUUAAGACAACAUUUUAAAAGAAUCAUCUAAAUAAAGACAUGGCCCCUGGACACGGACACGGACAUGAACAUGGUCAUGGAAAACUAGAACUUCCAGAUUAUAGGCAAUGGAAGAUAGAAGGGACACCAUGACAAACUGUCCAGGAGAAGCUGGCUGCAAAAGGGCUCAGGGAUCCAUGGGGCCGCAAUGAAGCUUGGAGAUACAUGGGUGGCUUUGCACACAAUGUUUCCUUUGUUGGUGUAUUAUUAAAAGGAUUUAAAUGGGGAUUUGCUGCUUUUGUGGUAGCCGUAGGGGCCGAA
Molecule: long non-coding RNA, 402 nt
Filed under: Marmota monax (woodchuck)
Lineage: Eukaryota; Metazoa; Chordata; Mammalia; Rodentia; Sciuridae
Source: RNAcentral